UAACCAGGGCCCUACACUGUCCUUCACUGUAACCCUGAGCUCUUCCCAACUAAAAUCCAUACUCUUCCCCUAAUUAUGGCACUGGGCUCUCCCUAACAAAAACACUGAGCUUCUUCUAACUAAAUCUUUGACUCUCUCUGGAAAUAAAGACCCAGCGAUGUCCCUAAAUAAGGUCCUGGGUAAUCCCUAAAAGAGGUCAUGCAUAUCUCCCCACCUUUGUCCCUAUUCUAUCCCAAAGGUCCUGUCAAUGUGCCUAACUUAGGCCCUGCACUGUCUUUAACUGAGGACUUACAUUCUCCUUCACUAACAACCUGAGCUCCAACUAACACCCUGUUUCCCUACCUAAGGCUCUACACUGUCCCUAAAUAAGGCCCUAGGAUGUCCUUACCUAAGGUCCUGCACUAACCCUAACUCAUGCUCUAAGCUUUCUCUAAUUAAGGUCCUAUCUCUUUACUGAAUUUAGGCCCAGCCACAUCCAUAUCUAAAGCCCUAAACCCUCUCCAACUAAGACCUUCGGCUGAUUAUAUUAAGGACCCUGACUCUGUCCUAAGUAAGCACCAGUUGUUAUCCCAAAUGAGGCCUUUCAAUCUUCUAAAGGUUGUACACGGUCUCUACCUAAAGCCCUGUUUUUUCCAUAACUAAUGCCAUGAUCUGUCCCUACUAAGGCUCUUAUAUGUCCUUAAAUAAGGGCCUGAGUUAUCUCUAUCUGAGGCUCUGACUUUUUCCCUAAGGCCCUGUGCUAUGUCCUCCAACUAUGGCCUUGACCCAGUCCCUAAGAAAGUCCUAAUUUUGUUCUCAACUAGAUACUGCACUUUCGUUAACAUCAUGCACUCUCCUUAUAAGGCCCUUGCUGUCCAUACCUAAAAUCCUGACACUGUGUCUAACUCAGACCACAUAUUAUUCCUAACUAAGGCCCUUAUGUGUCCCUAAAAGUCCCAGAUUUGCCCUGAGUAAUCUCCAAAGGCCCUGCACUGUCCCUAUCAGCCUUAUGUGUCCUUAACUAAGAUGCAUAUGUGUCCAGAAUUAAGGCCCUGAAUUAUCUCCAACUAUGGCCCUGACUCUGUCCCUAAGAAAAGUCCUGAUGCUGUCCUCGACUUAUACCCUGCACUGUUUCUCAGGACUUGCCUUUUUCCUAAAUAAUGCCCUGUACUAUCCCUAAUUGAGGCCCUGACACUGUUUCUACCUAAGUCCCUAUUCUAUCUCCAACUAAGGCCCUGGCAGUGUGUCUAACUUAGGCCCUGUGCUGUCCCUAUAUAAGGCCCUGGCAUAGCCUUGAACUAUCCCUUGAGCUCUCCAACUAAUAUAUUGAUUUUCUUUAACUGUAACACUGGGUUAUACCUAACUAAGCCUCUGUACUAUCUCUAAAUAAGACCCAUAUAUGUCCUUAAAUAAGGCCUAGAUUUUCUCCAUCUAAGGGCCUGAGUUCUCCUCAACUAUGGCUCUGACUCAGUCUCAACUAAGGCCCUACACUAUGUGCACAGGGCCCUUGACUCUGUCCCUAAGAAAAGCCCUGAACUGUCCCUAAGACUCUAAUAGUGUCCCUAACUAAGGCCCUGAUACUCCCUAAGUUUCUAUAUUGUCCCAAUCAUCUUGAGCACUCUCCAACUAACAUGCCAAAUUUUUCCUUAAUUCUGACCCUGAGCUGUCCUAAACUAAACACCUGAGCCUUCUCUAUAAAGACUUUACUCUCUUCCAAACUAAGGCCCUGGCAUGUCCCUACCAGGCCCUGUGCUAAUCCUAACUCAUACUCUGAGCUGUCUCUAAUUAGAGCCCUGACUCUAACUAAGGCUUGGCCUUUUUCCUAGAUAAAGCCCUAAGCCCUCCCCAACUAAGACCAUCAUCUCUCUCUAGUUAAGGCCCUGACAUUGUCCCUAAGUAAGGACCUGAUGUUGUCCUUAACUGAGGCCCUUCACUUUUCCAAACUAAGGUUAUGUGCUGUCCCUACCUAAAGCCCUGUUCCUUCCCGAACUAAGGACAGCUGUGUCCCUAAGGCUCUGAAAGUGUCCUUAGCUAGGUCCUGAUUAAAUCAGACGAAGGCACUGAGUUUGACUCUGGUUAAGGCCCUACGCUAUGUUCAACCCCAGCCCUGAUUCUCUCCCUAAGUAAAGUCCUAAGGCUAUUUCUAACGGAGGAUCUCCUUGUCACCAACUAUGGCCAUGCUCUGUUCCUAACUAAGGCCCUGUGCUAUCUCCAGCUAUGUCCAGACUCUAUCCCUUAGAAAAGUCUUAAUUCUGUCUUCAACCUAGAGCCUGCAGUGUUGCUAAUGCCAUGCACUGUCCUUAACUAAGGCCCAGUUACGUCCGUUACUAAGGCCUUUGCUGUCCAUCCUAAGGUCCUGACACUGUGCCUAACUCAGGGCCUGUGUUGUCCCUAACUAAACCCUGUGUUAUCCCUAAGACCCUUGAGGAGAGCACAAGAAAGAAGAGCUUAGGCGGUUACAUGUGCCUUACCUACACUCAAACGAAUUCAUUUUGUCCUGUACACGCACCCUACAUCAGUCUGAACUGCAGAUUUUUGGCUUCACCACCUCCACUGAGAGAAUUAGCUUAACCUACUGUGAGACAUCUCCCAUAGGAUUUCCAGAACCACAAAAAUCAGAGAGUUCAUGCUCAUGUGUAAUCACAUUUCAUAGGACCCAGAGAUUGUGUCUAGCGUCCUGGUGACUCUGCUGCAGCAGAGCCACCCAGUUCCCACCACAACCCGUUAGACUUUUCCUGCUCACAGCUACCCUGCACUUCCUAGCCUGCCUACCCCUUGCAGAUUGGGGCACAGUAUCUCCUGUUACCAAUGGGAAGUGGUGGAGGUGUUGAGGCCCUGGGCCAGCCUGCAUCCUAGGACAGAGGGCAUGGUGCCCAUGUGGUCACCCCAUCCCCUUCUGUUGGAGCCCUCCACCUGGAAACAGGGAGGGUAAACAAGGUGGGCAGAGCCUCGGUCCCGACACUGACUUGCCCUACACUCUCACAUGAAGGGGACAGAGACAUCUGGAGCUUCAGCUCAUUGGAGGGGGGGUGCACUUUGUUCUAGCAACAAACCUUUGCCCUAAAAGAUGAAGAGCCUUUGGAGUUCCCAUCGUGGCGCAGUGGUUAAUGAAUCCGACUAGGAACCAUGAGGUUGCAGAUUCGGUCCCUAGCCUUGCUCAGUGGGUUAAAGGAUCCAGCAUUGCCGUGAGCUGUGGUGUAGGUUGCAGAUGCAGCUCGGAUCCCGCAUUGCUGUGGCUCUGGUGUAGGCCGGUGGCUACAGCUCCGAUUAGACCCCUAACCUGGGAACCUCCAUAUGCCACGGGAGUGGCCCUAGAAAAGGCAAAAAGACAAAAAAAAAAAAAAAAAAAAAAAAAAAAAA
RNAcentral lists this long non-coding RNA (3339 nucleotides) under Sus scrofa (pig). RNAcentral's name for it is "lncRNA (ENSSSCG00040035601.1)". The record is from RNAcentral. Lineage: Eukaryota; Metazoa; Chordata; Mammalia; Artiodactyla; Suidae.